GACGUAGGGGGCAAGCGUUAUUCGGAAUUAUUGGGCGUAAAGAGCUCGUAGGCGGUUUGUCGCGUCUGUCGUGAAAGCUUGGGGCUUAACCCCAAGUCUGCGGUGGAUACGGGCAGACUAGAGGCAGGUAGGGGAGAACGGAAUUCCCGGUGUAGCGGUGAAAUGCGCAGAUAUCGGGAGGAACACCGGUGGCGAAGGCGGUUCUCUGGGCCUGUACUGACGCUGAGGAGCGGAAGCGUGGGGAGCGAACAGG
RNAcentral lists this ribosomal RNA (253 nucleotides) under uncultured bacterium. Its description in RNAcentral is "partial 16S ribosomal RNA". It matches the Rfam family "Bacterial small subunit ribosomal RNA", at positions 524 to 776 of the family's 1533-position model. The record is from RNAcentral.